This 245-nucleotide ribosomal RNA is filed under the name uncultured bacterium. RNAcentral's name for it is "partial 16S ribosomal RNA". It matches the Rfam family "Bacterial small subunit ribosomal RNA", at positions 524 to 768 of the family's 1533-position model. The record is from RNAcentral.
UACGGGGGUGGCGAGCGUUACUCGGAUUUAUUGGGUGUAAAGGGCAGGUAGGUGGCUGUGCAAGUUGAUGGUGAAAUCCUAUGGCUUAACCAUAGAACUGCCGUCAAAACUGCACAGCUUGAGGCCAGAAGAGGAGAGCGGAAUUCCCGGUGUAAGGGUGAAAUCUGUAGAUAUCGGGAGGAACACCAGUGGCGAAAGCGGCUCUCUAGUCUGGCUCUGACACUAAGCUGCGAAAGCUCGGGGAG